Molecule: long non-coding RNA, 903 nt
Filed under: Olea europaea subsp. europaea
Lineage: Eukaryota; Viridiplantae; Streptophyta; Magnoliopsida; Lamiales; Oleaceae
Source: RNAcentral
GGAUUUGUUGGGACUCUGACAACAAUAUAGUGGUUGGAGCCUGAAGUUCAUGUACCCCAUGCUUCUCAUAAGGUUAAUUUUCUGCAUCCUCAUUUAUUUCAUUUGCUUUUUUCUUUUCUUUAAAAUAUAAUCUGCUGUGUGCUAAGAUUCUGUUUAUUUGAGGAUAAAACGAGGUCGAAAAUGCUUGCAAUUUCUUGUUUUAUCAUUCUAGGCACCAUAAGAUCGCAGAGAAAAUAAGAGUUUGGCAAUUUGCAGAUAAAUGCUCCAUUAUUAACUCGUUUACUGAUUCGAGGAAAGUUUUCAAAGAGAUUAUGUAGAUCUUCAAGAAGUUCCAUCUAAAUGAACUCACUAAAUUAUGACCUAAUGAGCGUUUUUAUUAUUUCAUUGUUUUUCCAAACAUUAUCUGUCCUAUUAAUCUACUUCUGACUUAUUUAGGAAGAAAAACAUCACAAAUGGUAUUUGAAAUUGGAUAAAGCAUAUGAGUAGCCAACCCCAAAAAUUAACAAGUCAUAGUCUCUCUCUCUCACUUUUGGACUUGGAAACUUCUGGUGCUUUUUUCUGAAACAGCUUUAAUGCUGAGACCAAAAGGUGGAAUCUUACACCUACCACACUACUUUGUCUAAGAAAGCAGACGGCCUUGACCAUAGAGGUUGGUAAAUGCAAAUAUUAAAGACUUUAUUGAGUCAAUUUUUUUUAUCAUUUGUACUAGUUCAUUAAAUAAGACAAUAAUUAUGAGUAAGUUGUGUAUUAAAAGCAUGAAAAAAUUAUGGGAGCUGCACUAUAAAGUCAGGAUGAAAGAUUAUGCCUUUGUUUGAGCCACAUUAUUUUCAUUAGAAUGCAUUUUUGAAUUGUGUAUUGAUGAGAAAUGUGUGGUUAAAAAUAAAGAAUAGUUUUGAAUUUGAG